AUGCCUAAUCUGGUUCAUGUCUUAGUUUGGAGGAAGGCUGGGGCAAGCAAUAUCUUCAACAAUUACACUGAAAAGCACUUGAUGGUGGUUGUCCUCGAGCUUCAUAGAGUAGCGGCUGGGUGUUAUUCACAUGUCGUAAAUCUGGAACUGGCAAUCCUGAAGUUGUAUGAAAUGGUGAGUGUCAGUCCGAACAUAACCCCAAGAACAUGGGAUCCUCAAACUCUACUUUUUGGUUAUGUGCUUCGCAUACACCUCCCUUUCCUGGGUGUAUGUGUUGGCCGUGAGGGGACCCAUGACAGGACAAGCUUUCUUCUCUUGGUAUUUGAGCUGAUACACCAUAGAGGAUAUGGAAUUUCAUUUCCCUCAAUUGUUGUUUAUCAGUUCCUGAGUGCCCUUUAUGUGGUUCAACACAUGAGUGGGAUGAUGCUUGAUUUUUCAAAAGAUUGGUUGUAUUUACACUUCCUGGAGUCACAUAUCAGAUGGUUGUCACAUCUUACAACAUUUCUACCUUGUGUUGACAUAAAAGUUCAGCCCAGAGAGGUGUAUUCAAUUGUUGGAGUCACAUCACUAUAUGCAAAAGGAAAUGAAGUAUUUACUAGAGGACCUCACCACAUUAUUCACUUUCACUUUCCAUGGAAGAUAUUUGUUGUAGUGCAUAUCCUUACCAGCUUAUCUAACUUCCUUGAGGGCAACACUGAGAAAUUGUUGAUUGCUCCUCUAUAUUAUUCUGAACACCUCCAAUUGGUACCUGCAUGGGAAAUCAUUAAUGGUUUCAAGUGUAUUCAAUGA
This 789-nucleotide ribosomal RNA is filed under the name Triticum aestivum (bread wheat). RNAcentral's name for it is "partial small subunit ribosomal RNA". Lineage: Eukaryota; Viridiplantae; Streptophyta; Magnoliopsida; Poales; Poaceae. The record is from RNAcentral.